RNAcentral lists this ribosomal RNA (468 nucleotides) under uncultured bacterium. RNAcentral's name for it is "partial 16S ribosomal RNA". It matches the Rfam family "Bacterial small subunit ribosomal RNA", at positions 28 to 507 of the family's 1533-position model. The record is from RNAcentral.
GACGAACGCUGGCGGCGUGCUUAACACAUGCAAGUCGAACGGAAAGGCCCUGCGUUUGUGGGGUGCUCGAGUGGCGAACGGGUGAGUAACACGUGAGUAACCUGCCCUUGACUUUGGGAUAACUUCAGGAAACUGGGGCUAAUACCGGAUAGGAGCUCCUGCUGCAUGUUGGGGAUUGGAAAGUUUCGGCGGUUGGGGAUGGACUCGCGGCUUAUCAGCUUGUUGGUGGGGUAGUGGCUUACCAAGGCUUUGACGGGUAGCCGGCCUGAGAGGGUGAACGGCCACAUUGGGACUGAGAUACGGACCAGACUGCUACGGGCGGCAGCAGUGGGGAAUAUUGCGCAAUGGGCGGAAGCCUGAUGCAGAAACGCCGCGUGCGGGAUGACGGCCUUCGGGUUGUAAACCGCUUUCGCCUGUGACGAAGCGUGAGUGACGGUAAUGGGUAAAGAAGCACCGGCUAACUACGUG